RNAcentral lists this transfer RNA (65 nucleotides) under Dipodomys ordii (Ord's kangaroo rat). It matches the Rfam family "tRNA". From Rfam's summary of the family: Transfer RNA (tRNA) molecules are approximately 80 nucleotides in length. The record is from Rfam by way of RNAcentral. Lineage: Eukaryota; Metazoa; Chordata; Mammalia; Rodentia; Heteromyidae.
GGUGGCUAAGUGGUAGAGUGCUUGCCUUGCAUGCAUGAGGCCCUAGGUUCGAAUCCUCAGCACCA